AUACCUACGACAACCUCUCCUCUCCCUCCCACCCCACCGCGCGGGAAGACUUAGCCGCCCCCUUGAGCGACUCAUCCGGAAGACCGCGGGUUCUGUUCGCGGGAGAGGCGACAGAAACGAACCACUUCUCGACGGUACACGGGGCCGUUGGUUCUGGGGAGAGGGAGGCGGCGAGACUGCUGCCGAGCAGUAAGAUUUAAUUUGCUGGGGUGUGUGUUUGCAUAGGGGUCACUUAAAAAUUGGCGAUUGAGAAAAUUGAGAUUUUAGACGACAAAUAAAUGGACUCAUGCCCGUUUUCACCAUCAAUCCCUAAUUUUUAAGUGACCCCUAUGGUAGGUAACACAUAACAGGAUUGUUUUCAUAGGGGUCACUUAAAAAUUAGGGAUUGUCAUGCCCGUUUUCACCAUCAAUCCCUAAUUUUUAAGUGACCCCUAUGGUAGGUAACACAUAACAGGAAUUUUGUUUUCAUAGGGGUCACUUAAAAAUUAGGGAUUGUCAUGCCCGUUUUCACCAUCAAUCCCUAAUUUUUAAGUGACCCCUAUAGUAGGUAACACAUAACAGGAAUUUUGUUUUCAUAGGGGUCACUUAAAAAUUAGGGAUUGUCAUGCCCGUUUUCACCAUCAAUCCCUAAUUUUUAAGUUACCCCUAUGGUAGGUAACACAUAACAGGAAUUUUGUUUUCAUAGGGGUCACUUAAAAAUUAGGGAUUGUCAUGCCCGUUUUCACCAUCAAUCCCUAAUUUUUAAGUGACCCCUAUGGUAGGUAACACAUAACAGGAAUUUUGUUUUCAUAGGGGUCACUUAAAAAUUAGGGAUUGUCAUGCCCGUUUUCACCAUCAACCCCUAAUUUUUAAGUGACCCCUAUGGUAGGUAACACAUAACAGGAAUUUUGUUUUCAUAGGGGUCACUUAAAAAUUAGGGAUUGUCAUGCCCGUUUUCACCAUCAAUCCCUAAUUUUUAAGUGACCCCUAUGUAAACAAAAUUCCUGUUAUUUGUUACCAUAGGGGUCACUUAAAAAUUGUCGAUUGAGAAAAUUGAGAUUUUAGACGACAAAUAAAUGGACUCAUGCCCGUUUUCACCAUCAAUCCCUAAUUUUUAAGUGACCCCUAUGGUAGGUAACACAUAACAGGAAUUUUGUUUUCAUAGGGGUCACUUAAAAAUUAGGGAUUGUCAUGCCCGUUUUCACCAUCAAUCCCUAAUUUUUAAGUGACCCCUAUGGUAGGUAACACAUAACAGGAAUUUUGUUUUCAUAGGGGUCACUUAAAAAUUAGGGAUUG
This is a long non-coding RNA of Ostrinia nubilalis (European corn borer), 1275 nucleotides long. RefSeq lists it as uncharacterized. The transcript is spliced from 2 exons. The record is from RefSeq and is a predicted model, not a curated record. NCBI's taxonomy places the organism in Eukaryota, Metazoa, Arthropoda, Insecta, Lepidoptera, Crambidae.